UGGCUCAGUGGUAGAGUGCUUGCCUUGCAUGCAUGAGGUCUUUGGUUCGAUUCCUCA
Molecule: transfer RNA, 57 nt
Filed under: Dipodomys ordii (Ord's kangaroo rat)
Lineage: Eukaryota; Metazoa; Chordata; Mammalia; Rodentia; Heteromyidae
Rfam family: tRNA
About the family: Transfer RNA (tRNA) molecules are approximately 80 nucleotides in length. Their secondary structure includes four short double-helical elements and three loops (D, anti-codon, and T loops). Further hydrogen bonds mediate the characteristic L-shaped molecular structure. tRNAs have two regions of fundamental functional importance: the anti-codon, which is responsible for specific mRNA codon recognition, and the 3' end, to which the tRNAs corresponding amino acid is attached (by aminoacyl-tRNA synthetases). tRNAs cope with the degeneracy of the genetic code in two manners: having more than one tRNA (with a specific anti-codon) for a particular amino acid; and 'wobble' base-pairing, i.e. permitting non-standard base-pairing at the 3rd anti-codon position.
Source: Rfam by way of RNAcentral